RNAcentral lists this ribosomal RNA (2456 nucleotides) under Staphylococcus aureus M0890. Its description in RNAcentral is "bacterial LSU rRNA". It matches the Rfam family "Bacterial large subunit ribosomal RNA", at positions 462 to 2925 of the family's 2925-position model. The record is from RNAcentral. Lineage: Bacteria; Bacillati; Bacillota; Bacilli; Caryophanales; Staphylococcaceae.
AAGGCUAAAUACUCUCUAGUGACCGAUAGUGAACCAGUACCGUGAGGGAAAGGUGAAAAGCACCCCGGAAGGGGAGUGAAAUAGAACCUGAAACCGUGUGCUUACAAGUAGUCAGAGCCCGUUAAUGGGUGAUGGCGUGCCUUUUGUAGAAUGAACCGGCGAGUUACGAUUUGAUGCAAGGUUAAGCAGUAAAUGUGGAGCCGUAGCGAAAGCGAGUCUGAAUAGGGCGUUUAGUAUUUGGUCGUAGACCCGAAACCAGGUGAUCUACCCUUGGUCAGGUUGAAGUUCAGGUAACACUGAAUGGAGGACCGAACCGACUUACGUUGAAAAGUGAGCGGAUGAACUGAGGGUAGCGGAGAAAUUCCAAUCGAACCUGGAGAUAGCUGGUUCUCUCCGAAAUAGCUUUAGGGCUAGCCUCAAGUGAUGAUUAUUGGAGGUAGAGCACUGUUUGGACGAGGGGCCCCUCUCGGGUUACCGAAUUCAGACAAACUCCGAAUGCCAAUUAAUUUAACUUGGGAGUCAGAACAUGGGUGAUAAGGUCCGUGUUCGAAAGGGAAACAGCCCAGACCACCAGCUAAGGUCCCAAAAUAUAUGUUAAGUGGAAAAGGAUGUGGCGUUGCCCAGACAACUAGGAUGUUGGCUUAGAAGCAGCCAUCAUUUAAAGAGUGCGUAAUAGCUCACUAGUCGAGUGACACUGCGCCGAAAAUGUACCGGGGCUAAACAUAUUACCGAAGCUGUGGAUUGUCCUUUGGACAAUGGUAGGAGAGCGUUCUAAGGGCGUUGAAGCAUGAUCGUAAGGACAUGUGGAGCGCUUAGAAGUGAGAAUGCCGGUGUGAGUAGCGAAAGACGGGUGAGAAUCCCGUCCACCGAUUGACUAAGGUUUCCAGAGGAAGGCUCGUCCGCUCUGGGUUAGUCGGGUCCUAAGCUGAGGCCGACAGGCGUAGGCGAUGGAUAACAGGUUGAUAUUCCUGUACCACCUAUAAUCGUUUUAAUCGAUGGGGGGACGCAGUAGGAUAGGCGAAGCGUGCGAUUGGAUUGCACGUCUAAGCAGUAAGGCUGAGUAUUAGGCAAAUCCGGUACUCGUUAAGGCUGAGCUGUGAUGGGGAGAAGACAUUGAGUCUUCGAGUCGUUGAUUUCACACUGCCGAGAAAAGCCUCUAGAUAGAAAAUAGGUGCCCGUACCGCAAACCGACACAGGUAGUCAAGAUGAGAAUUCUAAGGUGAGCGAGCGAACUCUCGUUAAGGAACUCGGCAAAAUGACCCCGUAACUUCGGGAGAAGGGGUGCUCUUUAGGGUUAACGCCCAGAAGAGCCGCAGUGAAUAGGCCCAAGCGACUGUUUAUCAAAAACACAGGUCUCUGCUAAACCGUAAGGUGAUGUAUAGGGGCUGACGCCUGCCCGGUGCUGGAAGGUUAAGAGGAGUGGUUAGCUUCUGCGAAGCUACGAAUCGAAGCCCCAGUAAACGGCGGCCGUAACUAUAACGGUCCUAAGGUAGCGAAAUUCCUUGUCGGGUAAGUUCCGACCCGCACGAAAGGCGUAACGAUUUGGGCACUGUCUCAACGAGAGACUCGGUGAAAUCAUAGUACCUGUGAAGAUGCAGGUUACCCGCGACAGGACGGAAAGACCCCGUGGAGCUUUACUGUAGCCUGAUAUUGAAAUUCGGCACAGCUUGUACAGGAUAGGUAGGAGCCUUUGAAACGUGAGCGCUAGCUUACGUGGAGGCGCUGGUGGGAUACUACCCUAGCUGUGUUGGCUUUCUAACCCGCACCACUUAUCGUGGUGGGAGACAGUGUCAGGCGGGCAGUUUGACUGGGGCGGUCGCCUCCUAAAAGGUAACGGAGGCGCUCAAAGGUUCCCUCAGAAUGGUUGGAAAUCAUUCAUAGAGUGUAAAGGCAUAAGGGAGCUUGACUGCGAGACCUACAAGUCGAGCAGGGUCGAAAGACGGACUUAGUGAUCCGGUGGUUCCGCAUGGAAGGGCCAUCGCUCAACGGAUAAAAGCUACCCCGGGGAUAACAGGCUUAUCUCCCCCAAGAGUUCACAUCGACGGGGAGGUUUGGCACCUCGAUGUCGGCUCAUCGCAUCCUGGGGCUGUAGUCGGUCCCAAGGGUUGGGCUGUUCGCCCAUUAAAGCGGUACGCGAGCUGGGUUCAGAACGUCGUGAGACAGUUCGGUCCCUAUCCGUCGUGGGCGUAGGAAAUUUGAGAGGAGCUGUCCUUAGUACGAGAGGACCGGGAUGGACAUACCUCUGGUGUACCAGUUGUCGUGCCAACGGCAUAGCUGGGUAGCUAUGUGUGGACGGGAUAAGUGCUGAAAGCAUCUAAGCAUGAAGCCCCCCUCAAGAUGAGAUUUCCCAACUUCGGUUAUAAGAUCCCUCAAAGAUGAUGAGGUUAAUAGGUUCGAGGUGGAAGCAUGGUGACAUGUGGAGCUGACGAAUACUAAUCGAUCGAAGACUUAAUCAA